AGAAAUUCUAAUUUUAAUUAAUUUAAAUAUUUUGAGCUAAUUAUUUGCAUUAUUAUUUUCAGGGAAAAAUUUGGAAAUUCAAUUUGGGACAUUUGGAGUGCUAUCAAAUAAGUCAAGACUCUUCACAUGGACAUUUCAAAUUUAAUUACUUUGAAACUUAGUAGCCUAGAUAGUUUCAGUUAAACUUGUAAACAUUGGGCCAAUAUUUGGCAAAAUAGUUUNGGCCCAAAAUGUUAGAAUAGAUGACACUUGACACCUAGGGUUUUGGGUGGACCCCACCCCAUUUUUUUUGGAGACACUUAUCCCUAGGGAAAGAAGUUGUCNAGCCGUCAUUCUGAAGUGGAGGAGAUUCUCGGCGGUAGAGAACAAUAUAUCACUUGGAGGAUUUUGAAAAAAAAAAGAGCUCACGGGAUGGAGGGUUACGGCUAGAUGAUUCUGCACCUUACAUUGGAAUUUCGUUUAUUUCCUUUUCAUUCCAGUAAAGUGUCACGUGAAAUANAAGCUCAUUUUCUUUUCUUUUUUUUAUUUUAGCACAUUCAGUCUUCUUUAGAAAGUAAGGAAUAGUGAUUCAUGAUAGGAGACGUGUUUAAUGUUUGNAGUGNNGCACACUGUUUCUAAUUUCCCACUUUUAGAUAAAGCUCAGUCACGUUUAUUAGCACNUUNUAUUGAUUUUUUUUAUUUCCAACAUAUUCUNUUUCAAAUAGAAAAACGUUGAUUUCAUGUGGUGGAUAAAAGGGAGAAGCGCUGCUGNAGACGUUGGAGGAAGUAACGUUUUCUUUUUCCUUCUUUUUGGUUUUAUUGAAUGAAAAGAAAAAAUGGAGAAGAGAUGGGAUGUGUUGGUUCUUUGUUUUUUUU
This 855-nucleotide long non-coding RNA is filed under the name Vigna radiata. RNAcentral describes it as "long non-coding RNA (VRAD_LNC015247)". Lineage: Eukaryota; Viridiplantae; Streptophyta; Magnoliopsida; Fabales; Fabaceae. The record is from RNAcentral.